UACGUAGGGUGCAAGCGUUGUCCGGAAUUAUUGGGCAUAAAGAGCUCGUAGGCGGUUUGUCGCGUCUGCUGUGAAAACGCGAGGCUCAACCUCGCGCCUGCAGUGGGUACGGGCAGACUAGAGUGUGGUAGGGGAGAUUGGAAUUCCUGGUGUAGCGGUGGAAUGCGCAGAUAUCAGGAGGAACACCGAUGGCGAAGGCAGAUCUCUGGGCCAUUACUGACGCUGAGGAGCGAAAGCGUGGGGAGCGAACAGG
This 253-nucleotide ribosomal RNA is filed under the name uncultured bacterium. RNAcentral's name for it is "partial 16S ribosomal RNA". It matches the Rfam family "Bacterial small subunit ribosomal RNA", at positions 524 to 776 of the family's 1533-position model. The record is from RNAcentral.